This 260-nucleotide ribosomal RNA is filed under the name uncultured bacterium. RNAcentral describes it as "partial 16S ribosomal RNA". It matches the Rfam family "Bacterial small subunit ribosomal RNA", at positions 793 to 1055 of the family's 1533-position model. The record is from RNAcentral.
GUCCACGCCCUAACGAUGUCAACUGGUUGUUGGGAAUUCACUUUCUCAGUAACGAAGCUAACGCGUGAAGUUGACCGCCUGGGGAGUACGGCCGCAAGGUUGAAACUCAAAGGAAUUGACGGGACCCGCACAAGCGGUGGAUGAUGUGGUUUAAUUCGAUGCAACGCGAAACCUUACCCACCUUUGACAUGUACGGAAUCCUUUAGAGAUAGAGGAGUGCUCGAAAGAGAGCCGUAACACAGGUGCUGCAUGGCUGUCGU